CAACAAACGAGCAGGACAACGGUCAACAAAUAGAAAAUCAGUCACACACAAAACAUGGACGACUUAGAAGUGAACAAAGAUGCCAGAAGAGCCAGCAUAGGAUCAUGCGUUGAAUGCAAAUCAAUUUCCUCCACUUCAUCGCCAAUGCAAUCACCAAGCCGCAGCAAGAGCCCCUUGGCCAAGGUAUAUGAAAAGGCAACACCCAAAACGGCAGCACCUGAUGGGACAACAAUAGCCACUCGCUAUACGGGUAACAAGAAAAACUACCAGCCAAAUGGUGGCAUCGAUGCUGCUCCUGGCACCGCCAAUGAAGCACCACUCCAUUGCCACGACGAGGACAAUAUCGCCAGCAAACAUUUCGCAAACACUUGUGGCUACGGCGAAACACCAAUCAAGGAUUUCUACCGUGACGCCACUGUUCUCAUCACGGGCGGUACUGGUUUCGUGGGCAAGGUGCUGAUUCAAAAACUGCUGCGUACCUUUGAGGUGCGUAGAAUUUAUAUGCUAAUACGGUGCAAGAAUAACAUGACGGUGGAGCAGCGUUUACAGGAGUACUUUAACGAAACGAUAUUUGAUACGAUACGUGUAGAAAAUGCCAAACUCUUCGAAAAAGUGCAUCCCAUACGUGCAAACUUUAGUGCCAUCGAUCUGGAUAUUGCACCCGCAGAUCGAGAGCUGUUGAGCAAUGAGGUUGCGAUUGUUUUCAAUGUUGUCGCAUCGGUGAAGUUCAAUGAGAAGCUAAGCGAUGCCAUCGACAUCAAUGUUCUGGGCACCAAAAAAAUAUUGGAUCUGGCCAUGGAAAUGAAAACUCUAAAGUCUUUUGUGCAUAUCUCCACACUCUACUGCAACUGCAACAGGAAAUUCAUCAACGAGAAAGUGUACGAGACAGAGAUUGGCUAUGAAAAAAUAAUGCAGAUCUUUCGCAUAUUUGAUGAUGAGACUUUGGAAAAGUUUCGUCCAUGUCUAAUUGGAGAAAUGCCAAAUACCUACACCAUGACCAAGAAAUGUGCAGAGAAUUUGGUGAACCACAAAGCGUUUUAUCUGCCAGCCGGAAUAUUUCGGCCACCAAUCGUCAUGUCAACCUACAAGGAUCCCAUACCCGGCUGGACCGAUAAUCUCUAUGGUCCCUCAGGUUUGUGCACCUGGUCAGCGAGAGGUUUAGUUCGUUGCAUUUAUGGAAAUGCCAAAUAUAAAGCAAAUAUGGUUCCAGCGGAUUAUUGUGUCAAUGCCAUGAUAUCGAGUGCCUGGGAUGUGGCCCGAAGAUAUGCAAUUAGCAAAAGCGAUAGCGAGGCCAAACGUGAAUUGCCCGUCUACAAUUACAUAUUCGAUCGCAACAAUUUGACAUGGGGCCAAUACAUGCAUUUGUCCCGCAAAGGAUUCCAUGAACCAUUCGACAAAGCAUUGUGGUGUUUCUCAUACAUUAUAAUACCAUGGAAGCCAUUACACUAUGCUGCCUCCCUUUUGCUGCAUCAGAUUCCGGCUUACAUAUUGGAUUUGAUUGCCCUGGUUACAGGACAAAAACGCAUGUAUAUUAAAGCAUAUGCAAAGAUUACCAAAAUCAUUUAUAUGAUGUCCUGGUUUGGUCUCAAGCAUUGGACAUUUGCCAAUCGUAAUGUCACCGAGUUGGAUGAACUGUUGACGGAGCGAGAAAAGAAAUAUUUACAAUUUAACAUCAGCACCAUCAAUUGGAUGGAAUAUUUUCGUUCAUAUUUAAGUGGCAUACGGAAAUUUGUCUUCAAGGACACGGAGAAGGAGUUGCAAGCUAGAAAAACGUUUUAUCGAAGAAUUCAGUUCUUACAUUGCUUGUUAAAGACCUCAUUUGGUGCAACACUCAUUGUGUGGCUGGCAAGGAUUUAUUUCAAACUUUUCAAAAUCAUACCAAAAAUUACAUCCUAAGAUUACUCAGCACAACUUCAAUUAAUAACACCACAACAACAAAUGCUAGGUAAUAAGGAGAGGUGAAGGUGGAAAAUCCAAGAAAUACCGCAAACGUCUCUUCGAGAUACUUUACUGUACUUGACUUGACUUGUAGGUGAAUGAGAGUCUGGACAAAGGCAAUUUAAAGACGAGCAGAAGAAAACGAAAGAAAUGAUGAGUCUCAAGAACUGACCUCUUUGGACACCAACACUACAUUCUGGAGUGCUGCAAUGAUGAUGAAGUUGUUGUUGCAGUUGUUGUUGCUGUAACCAAAACCGAUGCUGCUGAUAAUGACCACCAUGACGAUGACGUUGCUGCUAUUGUCCUGGCACUCCUUUCGCAUCAUGAAUCAUUUAGAGUUUGUGCUAGUGUUUUAUUGAGAUGCAUGACUGUGUGCUGCCUGGGUGGGUGUAUUGUACGGAUGUCUGUGUGUGUACUACCGCAUAUGAGCUAUGGAUGUUUGUGUUUGUCCAUGGCCAUAAUA
RNA transcript from Stomoxys calcitrans (stable fly), 2401 nucleotides. It is a transcript of the gene named fatty acyl-CoA reductase wat, with no coding region annotated. The transcript has 12 exons. Lineage: Eukaryota; Metazoa; Arthropoda; Insecta; Diptera; Muscidae. The record is from RefSeq and is a predicted model, not a curated record.